RNAcentral lists this ribosomal RNA (522 nucleotides) under Bacillus licheniformis. RNAcentral's name for it is "bacterial SSU rRNA". It matches the Rfam family "Bacterial small subunit ribosomal RNA", at positions 340 to 853 of the family's 1533-position model. Lineage: Bacteria; Bacillati; Bacillota; Bacilli; Caryophanales; Bacillaceae. The record is from RNAcentral.
UUCCGGAGGGACACGUAGGGAAUCUUCCGCAAUGGACGAAAGUCUGACGGAGCAACGCCGCGUGAGUGAUGAAGGUUUUCGGAUCGUAAAGCUCUGUUGUUAGGGAAGAACAAGUACCGUUCGAAUAGGGCGGUACCUUGACGGUACCUAACCAGAAAGCCACGGCUAACUACGUGCCAGCAGCCGCGGUAAUACGUAGGUGGCAAGCGUUGUCCGGAAUUAUUGGGCGUAAAGGGCUCGCAGGCGGUUUCUUAAGUCUGAUGUGAAAGCCCCCGGCUCAACCGGGGAGGGUCAUUGGAAACUGGGGAACUUGAGUGCAGAAGAGGAGAGUGGAAUUCCACGUGUAGCGGUGAAAUGCGUAGAGAUGUGGAGGAACACCAGUGGCGAAGGCGACUCUCUGGUCUGUAACUGACGCUGAGGAGCGAAAGCGUGGGGAGCGAACAGGAUUAGAUACCCUGGUAGUCCACGCCGUAAACGCAUGAGUGCUAAGUGUUAGGCGGUUCCGCUCUCAGUCCCCCAGCG